RNAcentral lists this ribosomal RNA (253 nucleotides) under uncultured bacterium. RNAcentral's name for it is "partial 16S ribosomal RNA". It matches the Rfam family "Bacterial small subunit ribosomal RNA", at positions 524 to 776 of the family's 1533-position model. The record is from RNAcentral.
UACGUAGGGGGCUAGCGUUGUCCGGAAUCAUUGGGCGUAAAGAGCGUGUAGGCGGUCCGGUAAGUCCGUUGUGAAAGUCAGGGGCUCAGCCCUUGAAUGCCGGCGGAUACUGUCGGGCUAGAGUCCGGAAGAGGCGAGUGGAAUUCCCGGUGUAGCGGUGAAAUGCGCAGAUAUCGGGAGGAACACCUAUGGCGAAGGCAGCUCGCUGGGACGGUACUGACGCUGAGACGCGAAAGCGUGGGGAGCAAACAGG